Molecule: long non-coding RNA, 241 nt
Filed under: Ananas comosus (pineapple)
Lineage: Eukaryota; Viridiplantae; Streptophyta; Magnoliopsida; Poales; Bromeliaceae
Description: long non-coding RNA (ACOM_LNC039292)
Source: RNAcentral
AUUUUGAUUUCUUACAAGGAAGAGGGUAGAGAGAGAGAGAGAGAGUGAGAGUGAAAGAGACAUUUUGGUGGAACUGUGUAGAGAAAAUAGAGAGAGAGAGAGAGAGAGAGAGAAAAUGGAGAGAGAGAGAAUGGAGAGAUUGUAGAGAGAGAGAGAGAGAGAGAGAGAGAGAGAGAGAGAGAGAAUGUGUAUGAAUGUGGGGUUGUUGUGGUUAGGUCACUUUAGGUCAUUUAUAAGUGAG